CCAUGUUCAAAUUCCAAUAACUUUUAUCCAUAGUUCCCCUUCAACUGCAAUAUUGGGGAAGGGGGGGGUUUCAACGACACCGAUUUAUCUUGGGCGUGGUUUUAAUCUUUUGAGGCAAACACAGUCUCGCCUGUGAUCUUCAGGGAACAAAAUCCAACCAUCGAUGGAGGGGGGGGGGAGGACCAAAGCGAGCCACCAUCGUGCUCGUUUAAUCUUCCAUCUCCUGCUGGACUCAGUACCUUAUUCUUACCCAGGCGGACCCAUCGAAGACACUUCAGCCAGCAGGGAGCAGGGGAAAGAGGCUGGUUUUGGGGAAGGGGGCUGCUCGGAAAGUGGCCUUUCUCUUCAGGCAGUGGGAGGAGCUGCUCUCCCACCUUUGCAAAGCGCAGAAGAGGAGCGGGGUGAGGAGGGGUGUGUGUGUUUGAAUCGUCUCCAAAGAGAGGAGCAGAGGAAGCGAGAGGGAGAAAAAGAACUGAUGGCUCUAUUUGACCACUGAAAACCAACAGAGAACCAGCCGGUCGGCCUCCUUCUUUGCUUCCCGGGGGAGGAUCUGGGAACACAAGAAGCCGAAGGCCGUUUUAUCCCCACUCAAGUUACUUCAAAGGACGGCACCAUGGAGACAGCCCCGCGGAACCAGCCAGAGGCCAAGAGUUUAGAUAAGGAGGGAGCUUCUGCAAGGAACUCGAAAAAUCCCAGCCGGCUCUACCGAAGGUCCAUCAAAACACAGAUUGAGAAACGCCGCAGGGCCCGCAUCAAUGCAAGCCUAGAACAAUUGAAGAAGCUACUUCAACAGCCAGUGGAUCAACAGGACACUAAAGCCAAGUCACAUUUGGAGAAAGCUGAGAUCCUGGAGAUGACGGUGCAACAGCUUCGCCAGCUCAAGCAGCAAGGUAUGGUUGCUGUUUCUUCUUUCCAAGAUGGGCAAGAUUUUGCUGCUGGUUACUGUCACUGCCUUAAGACUGUCCACUUCUUCUUGACCUCAGCCAGUUCCUCUCCAAGUCAAGACAAGGCAUCACAAAUCUUGAAGUACCUGGAAGAGACUUCAGCUUCCAUAGACUGGAAAACGCACAAGCCAGAUUCUCUCUCCAUGCCUCAGUCGGCCUUUCUAUCGUCAUCUCCUUCUCUGCAACCUGCAGGGACAUCUUUUUCAGACUCUUACACCUUCACUGUUCGAUCUCGGCUGCAUCCUUCUCUGGUUUCUAUGCUGCUGCCCCAAGUGCACGUGACUUGUAUUCAGCCAGCAUCACCUGCAACUACCACCCAUAUAUGGAGACCGUGGUGA
RNAcentral lists this long non-coding RNA (1282 nucleotides) under Pogona vitticeps (central bearded dragon). RNAcentral's name for it is "lncRNA (ENSPVIG00000012407.1)". Lineage: Eukaryota; Metazoa; Chordata; Lepidosauria; Squamata; Agamidae. The record is from RNAcentral.